This 253-nucleotide ribosomal RNA is filed under the name uncultured bacterium. RNAcentral describes it as "partial 16S ribosomal RNA". It matches the Rfam family "Bacterial small subunit ribosomal RNA", at positions 524 to 776 of the family's 1533-position model. The record is from RNAcentral.
UACGUAGGGUGCGAGCGUUGUCCGGAAUUAUUGGGCGUAAAGAGCUCGUAGGCGGUGUGUCGCGUCGGCCGUGAAAACUCACAGCUUAACUGUGGGCGUGCGGGCGAUACGGGCAGACUGGAGUACUGCAGGGGAGACUGGAAUUCCUGGUGUAGCGGUGGAAUGCGCAGAUAUCAGGAGGAACACCGGUGGCGAAGGCGGGUCUCUGGGCAGUAACUGACGCUGAGGAGCGAAAGCGUGGGGAGCGAACAGG